GUGCUCUCUCUCUUCUGUCAUCUAGGUCUGAUUCUUGGAUUACUUCAUCCGAUCUCUCUUCAAGAUCCAGCGCUGCAUUGCGUGAACUGAUUGCAGAAAACCGUGCUGCCAUCUUGGCUAGACAGCUCGUCCAUGAACGGCACCUGCAACAUAAUGCAAUGGAAGACUUAGGUGAUCAUUCCGAACCUAGCCCCAAUAAUUCUUUCAUCCCUCACCAUCAUCAAGUUUUAGCUGAGGCACACAAUUGGGACCGUUUCCAUGACACUGGCACACAACUCACUUUGGACCUCAUGCAGGCUCCAACUUCAGCAUUCGGUUUCUUGUCUACGAGAGGGAAAAACAAUAAGGAAGAGGAAGAAGAAUGUUCCGAGUUAUGGAACACCUGGGCAGGAGCCCAUGUAGUUUAAUGUUUUUAACAUGCACUUUCUUUCAUGGGUCGUCAGUCGUCUUUUAGUGAGUUCUUAAAUUAGCUACACUUGACAUAUAAUUUACUUAUUUCAUCGCUUGGUUGUGAGUAACAAUUUUUUUAAUCUAAUUUGUCUCUAUUUUUUUUGUACUCUUAAGUAUGACAAUCUGGUUUCGAUUUUGUAGAAUUUCAUUUGUUAAUGGAAGUGGAAGAAUUUAGGUCCGGGAGCAAACAUCAAAGCUAGUUUAAGAUUGCUUCAAAAGGAAAGAAGGAAAGAAAGCAAACAUUCUAUCUUAUAUGUUUAUAUAUUGGGUCAAUGGUAGAACAGGUUUAAAUAAAAAUUUUUUAUUUUUUAUAGAUUUUUUUUGUCUAAAUCGAGUUUACAUGGAUUCAAGAUACAAAAUGUAUAGUGAGAUCUAUGGC
RNAcentral lists this unclassified non-coding RNA (829 nucleotides) under Hevea brasiliensis (rubber tree). The record is from RNAcentral. Lineage: Eukaryota; Viridiplantae; Streptophyta; Magnoliopsida; Malpighiales; Euphorbiaceae.